RNAcentral lists this ribosomal RNA (497 nucleotides) under uncultured bacterium. RNAcentral's name for it is "partial 16S ribosomal RNA". It matches the Rfam family "Bacterial small subunit ribosomal RNA", at positions 28 to 507 of the family's 1533-position model. The record is from RNAcentral.
GAUGAACGCUGGCGGCGUGCCUAAUACAUGCAAGUCGAGCGAACAGACGAGGAGCUUGCUCCUCUGACGUUAGCGGCGGACGGGUGAGUAACACGUGGAUAACCUACCUAUAAGACUGGGAUAACUUCGGGAAACCGGAGCUAAUACCGGAUAAUAUAUUGAACCGCAUGGUUCAAUAGUGAAAGACGGUUUUGCUGUCACUUAUAGAUGGAUCCGCGCCGCAUUAGCUAGUUGGUAAGGUAACGGCUUACCAAGGCGACGAUGCGUAGCCGACCUGAGAGGAUGAUCGGCCACACUGGAACUGAGACACGGUCCAGACUCCUACGGGAGGCAGCAGUAGGGAAUCUUCCACAAUGGGCGAAAGCCUGACGGAGCAACGCCGCGUGAGUGAUGAAGGUCUUCGGAUCGUAAAACUCUGUUAUUAGGGAAGAACAAAUGUGUAAGUAACUAUGCACGUCUUGACGGUACCUAAUCAGAAAGCCACGGCUAACUACGUG